This 442-nucleotide ribosomal RNA is filed under the name uncultured bacterium. RNAcentral's name for it is "partial 16S ribosomal RNA". It matches the Rfam family "Bacterial small subunit ribosomal RNA", at positions 338 to 795 of the family's 1533-position model. The record is from RNAcentral.
CCUACGGGUGGCAGCAGUGGGGAAUAUUGGGCAAUGGGCGCAAGCCUGACCCAGCAACGUCGCGUGAAGGAUGACGGCUCUAGGGUUGUAAACUUCUUUUUAGAGGGGAGAGAAGAAGACGGUACCUCUUGAAUAAGCCACGGCUAACUACGUGCCAGCAGCCGCGGUAAUACGGAGGUUGCAAGCGUUGUCCGGAUUUACUGGGUGUAAAGGGCGUGCAGCCGGGAAGACAAGUCAGAUGUGAAAUCCCGCGGCUCAACCGCAGAACUGCAUUUGAUACUGGUAUUCUUGAGUACCGGAGAGGUCAUCGGAAUUCGUUGUGUAGCGGUGAAAUGCUUAGAUAUAAGGAAGAACACCGGUGGCGAAGGCGGAUGACUGAACGGCAACUGACAGUGAGGCGCGAAAGCGUGGGGAUCAAACAGGAUUAGAUACCCCGGUAGUC